Molecule: ribosomal RNA, 501 nt
Filed under: uncultured bacterium
Lineage: Bacteria
Description: bacterial SSU rRNA
Rfam family: Bacterial small subunit ribosomal RNA
Source: RNAcentral
AUUGAACGCUGGCGGCGUGCCUAACACAUGCAAGUCGAGCGGUAACAGGUGUAGCAAUACAUGCUGACGAGCGGCGGACGGGUGAGUAACGCUUGGGAAUCUGCCUAUUAGUGGGGGACGAACCCGGGGAAACUCGGGCUAAUACCGCAUACGCUCUACGGAGGAAAGACCGGGGACCGCAAGGCCUGGCGCUAAUAGAUGAGCCCAAGUCGGAUUAGCUAGUUGGUAGGGUAAUGGCCUACCAAGGCGACGAUCCGUAACUGGUCUGAGAGGACGACCAGGUCACACCGGAACUGAGACACGGUCCGGACUCCUACGGGAGGCAGCGAGUGGGGAAUAUUGGACAAUGGGCGAAAGCCUGAUCCAGCGACGCCGUCGUGGGUGAAGAAGGCCUGCGGGUUGUAAAGCCCUUUCAGUGGGGAAGAAAAGCCUCGACCUAACACGUCGGGGUCUUGACGUAACCCAUAGAAGAAGCACCGGCUAACUCUGUGCCAGCAGCAG